AUUAAAUGAGAGUUUGAUCCUGGCUCAGGACGAACGCUGGCGGCGUGCCUAAUACAUGCAAGUAGAACGCUGAAGACUUUAGCUUGCUAAAGUUGG
This 96-nucleotide ribosomal RNA is filed under the name Streptococcus equinus. RNAcentral describes it as "16S rRNA. Bacterial SSU". It matches the Rfam family "Bacterial small subunit ribosomal RNA", at positions 1 to 92 of the family's 1533-position model. Lineage: Bacteria; Bacillati; Bacillota; Bacilli; Lactobacillales; Streptococcaceae. The record is from RNAcentral.